CAGCAUAAUUGUCAAUUCAAAUCACGAACAUACACUCAGAGACGCUUUUAUAUUGAUGCUAGUGCAUCGAUAAAAUUGAUAAAAUUAUUACCCCACAAUCAUCCUGACAACACCAAAAAUUAUUUAUCAAAUUAUUUUAUUAGCAAUACUUAGCAGUACUUAUAUAAAGACUUGUUCUCUGAUAACUUUAUAUAAUUUUGUGUAUAUAACAUCUCUUAUCUUUAUUGUAAUUAAUAACCAAAAAGAAGAAGAAAAAUACUAUUAUGCCAAUGUUCUAAGAAAAAUGAACAAAAUAUUCUGAAAAAUUUUAUGACUAUAAUAUAUUUAAUAUUGGUAAGUUGAUACGUGCUUUAGUGUAAUAUACUUUGUAUCUCAAUCAAACAUCACAAACAUAAUAUUGAACUGCAUUUUACAGAUUUGUAUGUUACCAGCAACAAUGGCGUGUAAAAUCGAUCGGAUGGAUGCCCGCUAAGACGAUGUGUAUCGUACGAGUGCACGCAGUAGACUGAAAAUGCGAAGUCAGAAAGACUCAAUUGCGCUUGCGCGCUCAAGAACUCGUUCCAUGAAUGUCUUUUCUGGGAAAUAAUAUCCACAGAAUUUCUUUUAACGCUUAAAUUGAACGCUGAAUUAUCAAUCUAUCAUCCGUGAAAUUAUUAAAUUGCGAGUGAUCAAAAUGUUACAGUAAUACUCAUAAAGAGACCUCAUGUUUUGCAUUGUGUUUAUGUUAUAAGUAAUCUGUGUUAAAAUUUAACAGAAUAAAAUGCUAUUAACUAAAAGAAGGGGAGAUAGAUCUACACUAAAUUUCACAGUUAAAUGCAUCCCGAUAUUCGUAGAGAUAUGAUCUACAUACAAGCACAUUUCAAUCUCACUCGGAUUCUCAUGCUUGCGAUUGGUUUGUGGCCCUAUCAGCAAACAAAACUUGUUCAACUUCAGUUAAUUUUGAUUUCGAAUAUCCUGACGAGCUUUGUUGUGUUCCAGUUUACAACAUUUAUAACUACCGAAUGCUCUCCUAAUCUCGUUAUUAAAAUUCUCACUUGUUCAUUAUUUGCUGCUUCACCUAUGAUCAUACAUAAUUCGUUUUGGCUUAAUAUUCAUACCGUGAAAUGUUCAUUUGAACGACUUCAGGAUAUUUGUAAUGAGCUAAAAGAUGAGGGCGAAAUUGCUAUCAUAAAAAGAUAUGGGAACGAUACGAAACGUUAUACACUUAUACUUUUCUUGUGUGCCACAUGCGGUAUAGUUUUCUAUAGUUUUCUGCCACUUUGGCCGCAGAUACUUAGUACUGUCCUCCCCAUUAAUAUGUCUCAAACACACCGUAUAAUGCAUAUUAUGACUGAGUACUUCGUUGACCAAGAAAGAUAUUUCUAUUUAAUUCUACUGCAUAUAAAUACCGCUACUUACAUUGGUAUGAUAGUAGCAGUAGCAACGGGAACAGUGCUGAUUGGAUGUAUCAUACAUGCAUGUGGACUGUUUAGUAUUGUUAGUUACCGUAUUAAACAGGCAAUGACAAUCAAUAUGAUGGAAAAUGCUAACCAGGAGAAUCAGAUCCUAAUUUACAGGAAAAUAGUUUGUGCUGUAAACAUGCAUUGCAAAGCUAUGAACUUCUUAGAAGUGUUAAUGUCCGCAUUUGAAGGAUUGCUCUUUCUUUUGAUAGUGAUUUAUGUAACUGUUAUGAGUCUUAGUCUUUACGGAAUUGCAUCAUAUAGAGAUAACACCUCGGAAUUGUUUUUAUAUCUUACAUGCAUGACUACUGCUGUCCUGUACAUAUUCAUAGCCAACUAUGUGGCACAAGAUGUUACGGAUCACAACAACGAUAUAUUUGUGACCGUAUACGACUUCCAAUGGUACACAGCAUCAUUACGUGUACAGAAAAUGAUGCUGUUCAUGCUACAAAGAGGCACAAAAGCUUUCUGCGUGAAUAUUGGUGGAUUAUUUGUGGGAUCGCUACAGAACGCAGCCACGUUAAUAAGUGCCUCGAUAUCUUAUUUUACCGUUCUUUAUUCAAUGCAAAAUUGAAAGCAAGAUUUCAGAGGGAAGUAUAUUAUAGCUGAAGAACGGAACUAUAGGAAUGUGUACAUUUACAAAAACUAAAAACUCAAGCAUGCUGAAUCAAGAUAAUCUUAAUCAUAAAUAAUAUUAAUGCUUGCAGCAUUUUAUUUCUUGGAAAAAAAGAACAAGAAUACAUUAUACCAAUAUCCUGA
RNAcentral lists this unclassified non-coding RNA (2198 nucleotides) under Ooceraea biroi (clonal raider ant). Its description in RNAcentral is "uncharacterized LOC105285849, transcript variant X6". Lineage: Eukaryota; Metazoa; Arthropoda; Insecta; Hymenoptera; Formicidae. The record is from RNAcentral.